This is a small nucleolar RNA of Sorex araneus (European shrew), 136 nucleotides long. RefSeq annotates it as small nucleolar RNA SNORA48. The record is from RefSeq and is a predicted model, not a curated record. NCBI's taxonomy places the organism in Eukaryota, Metazoa, Chordata, Mammalia, Eulipotyphla, Soricidae. The transcript has a single exon.
AACCUCUGGCAAUGGGCAAAGAGACAUCUCACUGGUGUUGUUCCUGUAUCUGUCAGGGACAAAGCAGUUGGUUCCUUGUUCAUCCUAGCUUCAUGCCUGGGUUUGGCCAGAGCUUUUUCCUGCUUGGGGCACAUAA